RNAcentral lists this ribosomal RNA (474 nucleotides) under uncultured bacterium. RNAcentral describes it as "SSU rRNA". It matches the Rfam family "Bacterial small subunit ribosomal RNA", at positions 28 to 476 of the family's 1533-position model. The record is from RNAcentral.
GAUGAACGCUGGCGGGCGUGCCUAAUAACAUGCAAGUCGAACGAGUUUCGACAUUUACGGAAGAUGCUUGCAUCGGAAGAAAAUGUUGAGACGAGUGGCGGACGGGUGAGUAACACGUGGGUAACCUACCCUAAAGUGGGGGAUAACAUUUGGAAACAGAUGCUAAUACCGCAUAACAAUCAAAACCGCAUGGUUUUGAUUUGAAAGAUGGUUUCGGCUAUCACUUUUGGAUGGACCCGCGGCGUAUUAGUUAGUUGGUGAGGUAACGGCUCACCAAGACAUUGAUACGUAGCCGACCUGAGAGGGUAAUCGGCCACAUUGGGACUGAGACACGGCCCAAACUCCUACGGGAGGCAGCAGUAGGGAAUCUUCCACAAUGGACGAAAGUCUGAUGGAGCAACGCCGCGUGAGUGAAGAAGGUUUUCGGAUCGUAAAACUCUGUUAUUGGAGAAGAACGUACUUGGUAGUAACUGG